Molecule: non-coding RNA, 134 nt
Organism: Paramuricea clavata
Lineage: Eukaryota; Metazoa; Cnidaria; Anthozoa; Malacalcyonacea; Plexauridae
Source: the annotation of a GenBank genome assembly
UACCUCAAAAAACCACAACAGUCUGUUUCAUCCGUAUAGGAAUCAUCAGGUGGUCUGAUGAUUCCUAUACGGAUGAUUCCUAUACAGACCACCUGAUGAUUCCUAUACGGAUGAAACAGACUGUUGUGGUUUUU